UACGAAGGGGGCUAGCGUUACUCGGAAUUACUGGGCGUAAAGCGUGCGCAGGCGGUUUUGUAAGUCAGAUGUGAAAUCCCCGGGCUUAACCUGGGAACUGCGUUUGAAACUACAAGGCUAGAGUGUGGCAGAGGGGGGUGGAAUUCCACGUGUAGCAGUGGAAAUGGCGUAGAGAUGUGGAGGAACACCGAUGGCGAAGGCAGCCCCCUGGGUUAACACUGACGCUCAGGCACGAAAGCGUGGGGAGCAAACAGG
This 255-nucleotide ribosomal RNA is filed under the name uncultured bacterium. RNAcentral's name for it is "partial 16S ribosomal RNA". It matches the Rfam family "Bacterial small subunit ribosomal RNA", at positions 524 to 776 of the family's 1533-position model. The record is from RNAcentral.